AGCAGCCGCGGUAAUUCCAGCUCCAAUAGCGUAUAUUAAAGUUGUUGCAGUUAAAAGCUCGUAGUUGAAUUUCGAGAUCAAAUUGUUGGUCGUGCCUUGGUACGCACUGGCAUUAUUGGUUUCUCCCUUCUGACGAACCAUGAUGUCAUUAAUUUGGUGUCUUGGGGAAUCAGGACUGUUACUUUGAAAAAUUGAGUGUUUAAAGCAGGCUCACGCUUGAAUACAUUAGCAUGGAAUAAUGAAAUAGGACGUUUGAUUCUAUUUUGUUGGUUUCUAGGAUCGACGUAAUGAUUAAUAGGGAUAGUUGGGGGCAUUAGUAUUCAAUUGUCAGAGGUGAAAUUCUUGGAUUUAUUGAAGACUAACUACUGCGAAAGCAUUUGCCAAGGAUGUUUUCAUUAAUCAAGAACGAAAGUUAGGGGAUCGAAGACGAUCAGAUACCGUCGUAGUCUUAACCAUAAACUAUGCCGACUAGGGAUCGGAUGAUGUUAAUUUUUAAUGACUCAUUC
Molecule: unclassified non-coding RNA, 506 nt
Filed under: uncultured Glomus
Lineage: Eukaryota; Fungi; Glomeromycota; Glomeromycetes; Glomerales; Glomeraceae
Description: SSU rRNA
Rfam family: Eukaryotic small subunit ribosomal RNA
Source: RNAcentral